This 497-nucleotide ribosomal RNA is filed under the name uncultured bacterium. RNAcentral describes it as "partial 16S ribosomal RNA". It matches the Rfam family "Bacterial small subunit ribosomal RNA", at positions 28 to 507 of the family's 1533-position model. The record is from RNAcentral.
GACGAACGCUGGCGGCGUGCUUAACACAUGCCAGUCGAACGGUGAAGCGCCUUCCUUUUUGGUGGGUGUGGAGGAGUGGCCAACGGGUGAGUAACACGUGAGUAACCUGCCCCCUUCUUCUGGAUAACGUCAUGAAAGUGUGGCUAAUACGGGAUAUUCUGGGUCUGUCGCAUGAUGGGUCUGGGGAAGAUUUUGUUUCGGUGGGGGAUGGGCUCGGGGCCUAUCGGCGGGGGGGUGGGGUGAUGGCCUACCAAGGCGGUGACGGGUAGCUGGGCUGAGAGGGUGAGGGGCUACAGCGGAAAGGAGACACGGGCAAGACGGCGACGGGAGGCAGCAGGGGGGAAGAGUGGACGAGGGGGGCAAGGCUGAUCCAACCAUACCGCGUGGGGGAAGAAGGCCUUCGGGUUGGAAAGCCCUGUUGGUGGGAAAGAAAAGCAGCAGGUUAAUACCCCGCUGUGCUGAGGGUACCAAAAGAAUAAGCACCGGCUAACUUCGUG